This 253-nucleotide ribosomal RNA is filed under the name uncultured bacterium. RNAcentral's name for it is "partial 16S ribosomal RNA". It matches the Rfam family "Bacterial small subunit ribosomal RNA", at positions 524 to 776 of the family's 1533-position model. The record is from RNAcentral.
UACGUAGGUGGCAAGCGUUGUCCGGAUUUACUGGGCGUAAAGAGCGCGCAGGCGGUCGUGCAAGUCGCGUGUGAAAGCCCCCGGCUCAACUGGGGAGGGUCACGCGAUACUGCUCGACUUGAAGGCAGGAGAGGGAAGUGGAAUUCCCGGUGUAGUGGUGAAAUGCGUAGAUAUCGGGAGGAACACCGGUGGCGAAGGCGGAUCUCUGGGCCUUACCUGACGCUGAGGCGCGAAAGCUAGGGGAGCGAACAGG